UUCCGGUUGAUCCUGCCGGACCCCACUGCUAUCGGGGUGGGACUUAGGCAUGUUAGUUUGUGUCUUCAAGCUAUGGUGAAGAUACGGCGGACGGCUCAGUAACACGUAGCUAACCUGCCCUCGGGACGGAGAUAACCCCGGGAAACUGGGGCUAACACCCGGUAGGUGAGAAGGCCUGGAAUGGUUUCUCGCCUAAAAGAUGUGGAACCACGCAUCCAAUAUCGCCCGAGGAUGGGGCUGCGGCCGAUCAGGUAGUUGGUGAGGUAACGGCUCACCAAGCCAGUAAUCGGUACGGGCCGUGAGAGCGGGAGCCCGGAGAUGGGCACUGAGACAAGGACCUAGGCCCUACGGGGCGCAGCAGUCGCGAAAACUCCGCAAUGCGCGCAAGCGCGACGGGGCUAUCCCGAGUGCCGUCCGCUGAGGAUGGCUUUUCUCAGGUGUAAUGAGCCUGAGGAAUAAGGGGAGGGCAAGACUGGUGUCAGCCGCCGCGGUAAUACCAGCUCCCCGAGUGGUGGGGAUGAUUAUUGGGCCUAAAGCGUCCGUAGCCGGCUCGGUAAGUCCUCCGUUAAAUCUGACGAUCUAAUCGUUGGGCUGCGGGGGUUACUGCAGAGCCAGGGGGCGGGAGAAGUCGACGGUACUCUUGGGGUAGGGGUGAAAUCCUAUAAUCCCAGGAGGACAACCAGUGGCGAAGGCGGUCGACUAGAACGCGCCCGACGGUGAGGGACGAAAGCUGGGGGAGCGAUCCGGAUUAGAUACCCGGGUAGUCCCAGCUGUAAACGAUGCAGGCUAGGUGUUGGCGUGACUACGGGUCACGCUAGUGCCGCAGGGAAGCCGUUAAGCCUGCCGCCUGGGAAGUACGGUCGCAAGACUGAAACUUAAAGGAAUUGGCGGGGG
Molecule: ribosomal RNA, 894 nt
Filed under: uncultured archaeon
Lineage: Archaea
Description: bacterial SSU rRNA
Rfam family: Archaeal small subunit ribosomal RNA
Source: RNAcentral